Cercocebus atys (sooty mangabey) is the source of this 62-nucleotide small nuclear RNA. Its record names the gene U7. It matches the Rfam family "U7 small nuclear RNA". Rfam says of the family: Animal histone pre-mRNAs are spliced by a different mechanism than nuclear pre-mRNAs and self-splicing introns. NCBI's taxonomy places the organism in Eukaryota, Metazoa, Chordata, Mammalia, Primates, Cercopithecidae. The record is from Ensembl.
UAGUGUUACAGCUCUUUUAGAAUUUGUCUAGCAGGUUUUCUGUUUUUUAGCAGAAACCCUCC